CAAGAAACUCAUCUAAAAGAAAAUGACAAUGUAUCUUUAAAAGGAUACAAAAUGUAUAGCACAUUUUCUAAGGUAGAUGAACGUGCUGCAGGCGGAUCAUCCAUUUUUGUGAAGGACAACGUCAUUCAUAGCACAGUCCAACUCACCACGGAUCUGCAGGCAGUUGCAAAUCAUUAGACAAAACAAUUACAUUAUGUUCUUUAUAUAUUCCACCCAAUUCAAUUAUAGAUAAAGCAAAACUCAAAAACCUCACUGAUCAAUU
RNAcentral lists this long non-coding RNA (262 nucleotides) under Mytilus galloprovincialis (Mediterranean mussel). Lineage: Eukaryota; Metazoa; Mollusca; Bivalvia; Mytilida; Mytilidae. The record is from RNAcentral.